CAGGCUUCCCAAAAGUUGUUUGAUAGUAUACAGGCAUGAGAUGGUGUGACUCUAACUCAUUAGAUGCCUUCGUCUUUUCAGUCAUCAUGUGAUGGAAAGAAAGCUAUCAACUUCAUUCCUGAGACUUCCUGCAACACAGGAGCAGCAGGACAUCUGGGGAUGAGAAGAUGGAGAGAUCAUCCUUAUAUAAUGUUGCAGUCUGGAAGCAUCACUCUCAAAAAGCCAUUGUAGAGAAUCCAAGCCGAGUUUAAGAGUGCUGUGGAAAUACACUGCUGCUACUGCUGUUUCUAUUACUGUUUGAUGCUGGGACUCUUAUGCUCCAACCACGUUUUCACCCAGCUGAGUCGCCUUCGUAUCACGCCUUUCCAGUUUUGAUAGACUAGAAAAAUGACAAGACUCCAAGUCCUUGAAGAGGAGGAAAAGUGUGAAGAAAACAAAAAAGGGAGAUUUAUGUCUGCUUCACCAUUUUGCCCAAGACUUGACCUGUCAUACACUGAAGGAAGCUCUUGUUUGACCUUCUGAAAAAAAUCUUGAAGUAUCUAUGAGAACAGCUAUUAUAUGAAGCAGAGAUUAUAAUAGAUAUGGAGUUUAAGUUGCAGAAAAAGAAGACUGAAUUAUUAAAUGGGACAUCAGAAAAUAAAAGUCUUUCCUUUUAUC
Molecule: long non-coding RNA, 657 nt
Filed under: Homo sapiens (human)
Lineage: Eukaryota; Metazoa; Chordata; Mammalia; Primates; Hominidae
Description: long intergenic non-protein coding RNA 1203
Source: RNAcentral